Molecule: ribosomal RNA, 255 nt
Filed under: uncultured bacterium
Lineage: Bacteria
Description: partial 16S ribosomal RNA
Rfam family: Bacterial small subunit ribosomal RNA
Source: RNAcentral
UACGUAGGGUGCAAGCGUUGUCCGGAAUUAUUGGGCGUAAAGAGCUCGUAGGCGGUUUGUUGCGUCGGCUGUGAAAUCCCGAGGCUCAACCUCGGGUCUGCAGUCGAUACGAGCAAACUAGAGUGUUGCAGGGGAGACUGGAAUUCCUGGUGUAGCGGUGAAAUGCGCAGAUAUCAGGAGGAACACCGAUGGCGAAGGCAGGUCUCUGGGCAUUAACUGACGCUGAGGAGCGAAAAGCAUGGGGGAGCGAACAGG